Molecule: ribosomal RNA, 634 nt
Filed under: uncultured bacterium
Lineage: Bacteria
Description: bacterial SSU rRNA
Rfam family: Bacterial small subunit ribosomal RNA
Source: RNAcentral
GAAAGGCUUCGGCCGGACAGGGAUGGGCAUGCGGCGCAUUAGGCAGUAGGCGGGGUAACGGCCCACCUAACCGACGAUGCGUAGGGGUUCUGAGAGGAAGGUCCCCCACACUGGUACUGAGACACGGACCAGACUCCUACGGGAGGCAGCAGUGAGGAAUAUUGGUCAAUGGUCGGGAGACUGAACCAGCCAAGCCGCGUGAGGGAUGAAGGUACAGAGUAUCGUAAACCUCUUUUGUCAGGGAACAAAGGCGGGGACGUGUCCCCGGAUGAGCGUACCUGAAGAAAAAGCAUCGGCUAACUCCGUGCCAGCAGCCGCGGUAAUACGGAGGAUGCGAGCGUUAUCCGGAUUUAUUGGGUUUAAAGGGUGCGCAGGCGGUCUGUUAAGUCAGCGGUCAAAGCCCGGGGCUCAACCCCGGCCCGCCGUUGAAACUGGCAGUCUCGAGUUGGAGAGAAGUAUGCGGAAUGCGCGGUGUAGCGGUGAAAUGCAUAGAUAUCGCGCAGAACUCCGAUUGCGAAGGCAGCAUGCCGGCUCCACACUGACGCUGAGGCACGAAAGCGUGGGUAUCGAACAGGAUUAGAUACCCUGGUAGUCCACGCAGUAAACGAUGAAUGCUGGCUGUCCGGGGGGGAUU